AAAAGUGAGAGUGAUCUGGCUGGACACCUGUUCCCCAGGCGGGUGUCGCUUGCUCCCUCAACGCUCCACAUGCGUCGCUCCGAAGCUGCGCGCUAGGUAGAGGAGGACGACCAGCCCCCACAGAGGAGGACUGCUCCUGGUCAAGGGCGUACGAGUACCAAACAAGCUCUAAACUGUAAAUAGAAUGGAAAAUACCGUAACAACCGUAGUAGGUCAAAACAAGUCAAAGGCUUGCUCU
This 238-nucleotide small RNA is filed under the name Octodon degus (degu). RNAcentral describes it as "7SK RNA (ENSODEG00000022317.1)". The stretch from base 1 to 157 matches the Rfam family "7SK RNA". From Rfam's summary of the family: 7SK was discovered as an abundant small nuclear RNA in the mid-70s but a possible function has only recently been suggested. Two independent studies have found that 7SK RNA binds the CDK9/cyclin T complex (known as elongation factor P-TEFb). P-TEFb activates transcription by phosphorylating the C-terminal domain of RNA polymerase II. The record is from RNAcentral. Lineage: Eukaryota; Metazoa; Chordata; Mammalia; Rodentia; Octodontidae.